UUGCAGACAUUGUACAAUUAUGGAGCAAGGAAAUUUGUGUUAAUUUGAGUGGGCCAAAUUGGAUGCAGCCCAAAUGCUUUGGCCCAAAAUAGCCCAGAUGGAAGAACUUGUGCUCAAAAUAUUAAUGUGGCAAAUCAAUUAUUUAACAAUAAACUGAGGGCACUUGUGGAUAAUUUAAAUAGAAAUACACCAAAUGCUAAAUUAAUCUACAUUAAUGCUUAUGGAAUAUUUCAAGAUUUAAUUGACAAUCCCUUUGCUUUUGAAUUUAGAGUGACGAACGCUGGAUGUUGCGGAAUAGGAAGGAACAAUGAACAAAUAACAUGUCUACCAUUUCAAAAUCCAUGCCCAAAUAGAAAUGAAUAUUUAUUUUGGGAUGCAUUUCAUCCAGGUGAAGCUGCAAAUAUAAUUGUUGGAAGAAGAUCUUAUAGAGCCCAAAAGUCAACUGAUGCAUACCCUUUUGAUAUUCAACGUUUAGCACAAUUGUGAAGAAAAAAUAAAUAUGGUUAUUAUUA
Solanum verrucosum is the source of this 512-nucleotide long non-coding RNA. RefSeq lists it as uncharacterized. The transcript is spliced from 2 exons. NCBI's taxonomy places the organism in Eukaryota, Viridiplantae, Streptophyta, Magnoliopsida, Solanales, Solanaceae. The record is from RefSeq and is a predicted model, not a curated record.